AUACUAGAAACAUAGAAGGAUCAUACUAGACCUGAUCUCUUAAUAAUAUAACUAUAAUCCCAUAAAAAUACGACCAUAGUUAAAUCAUACCCAAAUAAUAUCAGCUAUGAAAACCUUAUUAGAAUAGUAGGCAGUGCGAAAGAUGUAGACAUACACUCAAUUGAAUACUUCAGUACUCAAACAUAGACACUACACAAUACACACAAAAUAAUAUUAUUCCCAAGAAAUACAUUCCGUAAAACAAAACAGUCGGAUGGAACUUGCAUCCAUAAGGAAUGCACGGAUCAUUUGUGGCAUCGAAUUAUGCGGAUGGCACUGGAACACAAAUAGUAAUAAUAUAUAGAAGAACAAUCUAGAGGAAUACUCUGGUGAUGUGUGGCAUCAAAACAUGUUGAGCUUCCAUUUUCUCGUGCAGCAGACCCUCGCUCCUCAAGAUCAUCUCGUUAUAAAUAGGGCCAGUGUUGGCAUCGUCUUUGGUGAGGUUGUCCAUCACCUGUAGCGAGAUCCAUCAUCAGGCCGAAGCUGGAUAAAGCGCUGAUAAAGCUUGCGCGAAUCUAUAUUGGAUGAAAUAAAAGACAAAAAUUUGAAAAUAGU
This 594-nucleotide small RNA is filed under the name Drosophila pseudoobscura pseudoobscura. RNAcentral describes it as "GA31406". The record is from RNAcentral. Lineage: Eukaryota; Metazoa; Arthropoda; Insecta; Diptera; Drosophilidae.